GCCAGGCAUGGUGGCUCAUGCCUGUAGUUCUAGCUACUUGGGAGGCUAAGGUGGGAGGAUCCCUUGUGCCCAGGAAUUUGAGAAUGCAGUGAGCCAAGAUUUUACCACUGCACUCUAGCCUGGGCAACAAAGUGAGACCCUGUCUCAA
Homo sapiens (human) is the source of this 148-nucleotide non-coding RNA. It matches the Rfam family "Metazoan signal recognition particle RNA". Rfam says of the family: The signal recognition particle (SRP) is a universally conserved ribonucleoprotein. The record is from Rfam. NCBI's taxonomy places the organism in Eukaryota, Metazoa, Chordata, Mammalia, Primates, Hominidae.